This 1933-nucleotide long non-coding RNA is filed under the name Manihot esculenta (cassava). RNAcentral's name for it is "long non-coding RNA (MESC_LNC005674)". The record is from RNAcentral. Lineage: Eukaryota; Viridiplantae; Streptophyta; Magnoliopsida; Malpighiales; Euphorbiaceae.
CUCUUUUGCUGAUAAAAAGGACGAGAAUCAACGGAGUAAAAAUAAUUAAUGUGCAGAAUUGAAACAAAGAAGGGUAGGUCCAUGUCCUUGAGCCGAUCCAGUCACUCAACUAGAAUGUUGGGUCAGCCACUUGUCUGAUGAGCAUGUGACAAUUUCCUCAUACUACCCAAACUCUCUUCUAAUUCAGACAGACAUUAAGCUUUCCAUGUCCCAAAGAUUGUAUCGUCUCCGGUCCCUGCCAUGGCCGCCUGCUGCUGCUGCUACCAGCCAAGAAUUUUGUUGGAGCUUCGCAUUUCCCAGGUUAGUUUACAGCGUUAUUGAUGAUUCGUUGCUUCUUCCUUUUCAUAAUGAAGACAUGGUUCUCCUUUUUUAUGGUAUAUUUAAUUUUUAUUGAUUGUCGGAAUAAUUGCUUCUUUCUUGUUGUUCAUAUAACAUAUUCUAUAGACUAUCCAUAAAUAGUUUUAACUUUCUAAAAAAUUUUUUUUAAAAAAAGUAAAAUUUUAGCAUAUCUUGUAGGCUGAUAACUUAACCAGCUUUAUGAUGAAUCGUGUUACUCAUAAUCAAAUAAAAUUUUAUGUAAUUUAUUUUUACGAUAUAAUUAUUAUAUAUAUAAUAAUUUUUUUAUUAUUAUUAAUUAUAAUGAAUAUUAAAUAAAUUUCAAAUCAUCAAUAUUCAAUAGUCAAAUACGUGAUCAUGGGAUGAUUUUUCUAAACAAAUGUGCACAGUCACCCACAUGUCAAAUUAGAAAUAGGAUGGUGCCAUGCUUCCACCUACUCAAUUUCUUGCAUCAACCUCUCAUUUGCAUACACAUUCAUCUGCCAUUCAUUUCUUAGGCAAUAUCACCAACCUCCUAACUUACUUAACUUCCUCUUUCUUUUAUAAUAUUUUUCUUUUACGUACCAAAUACCAAAAAUUUUAUUUAUAUAUCUUAUUACUUUAAGAAUAUUAGGUUGACAAAAUUCUUAAUAUUUUUUUUUACUUUAUUAGUAUUUAUAUUUUCAAAUCUAAAUCCCUGUAAAAUAUUAAAUGGGCUAAGGUUUGGUGGUGAAGCUACGAUAUAUCUUUGGUCGGGUCUGUCAUACAUGAUUCUGCUUGCUUUUUGCUGCUUCCCAUGCAUAUAAUAUCUAUUUUACUCUCAUGAAUAUUAACGUAAAAUUAAUGCCAAAUUUUUAAAAAUAAGCAAGAAACACAUCAGAAAUUAGCGAGGGUUAACUAGCUUAGAUGAUAUUUACUUAUAAACUUGACAUGAUUUCUUAAUGAAUAAAAAAUCAACAACUCAAAACAAUAUCUAACGUAUGGGAAAGUGAAAAUAAUAACUAAACGAGAGAAACUGUUUUGAUUUAGAAAAGUUUUGCUUAAUGCUUAUGUGCACGCAUGUAUAAAAAAUAAGAGUCAAGAGAAUGCUCAACAUGCAAAGACAUCAUUGUUUAUCUUUCAUGUUUCAACACAAAAAAUCACUAUCUUAAAAAAUAGAUAUCAAUUUAAUUAUUUUUUUUUAUUCAAAUAAAAUCUAUAACCCAUAAACAUGAUUAAUAAAAAUAAUCAAUUCAUAUAUGCAGCAUAUGAAAUGCAAAACAUGCAAUUUCUCACAUUUAUCUGGUAUCUUGUGCAUGAGGAAGGAAAUAUAAGUCAUGAAUUCCCAUUAAGCAAUGUCAUGUUUGCAUGUCGAUCGAAGAAAGAGGGCAAAGGAGAACAACAUUUUUAAUCUUAUGGAUAGCAAACUAUAUUAGAUCUAAAGGCACUUAAACACAUGCAGUAAACAAAGUGCAUCGAUAUGGCCGACGUCUACGUAUAUUCUAUCAACUUAAUAAUAAUAUUUACGUGUAUAUGCAGGUGGAAGUAGAAGCAUACACCGCUAUGACCACAAGACUGAUUAACAUUACACGAAUUAUAUGAUAUAUAUGUAGCUAGUCAAGCCAAUCUGAUGUCCUUA